UUUUUUUUUUUUUUUUUUUUUUUUAUCGAUACGAUAGCUUUUACAUUACGGGGAGCGGGAGGGCCUGAAGAGAUCUUGGAGUAAUCCGAAGGGGACUGAAUUACCACCGGACUAGACGGGCGUACUACGCACCCGUCUGAAUUUUUUAAAUAAAGUCACAUUUAAUUGUGACAAAUUUGUCUUCCACCCCACCAAGUCUUAAUGCAUUGAUGAUGACCACCAGCCUAGACGGAGGAGGACCAAAUAAACUCAAAGUGCUUAGCCACAGGUGUAUUUGGUUGAAUGGCAUUGUGUGAACCAUAUCGAAUCUUCCACUGCUACCUCACAAAAUGCAAAGCCCUCGUCCUUGGGUCUGCUUCCUCCAUUGUUUUUGACAUAUUCUCUUCCCGAAUUGUCCACAUAUCCAAAUUCCUUUCUUUUCUUUUUUUUUCUUUCCUUUUUCCUUUUAGCAUGAAUGAUGGAUAGCAAUAUCGGUGACCCGUACGUGGAGGAUGGACAUCUCUCAAAUUGCGUCCCUGAGAGGGAAACUAACAAUGGCUGCAAAAGCCAAGUUUGGUUUGUGAUAUAUAUAUAUAUAUAUAUCAGUACAACAGCAGAAGUUGAAAGCCACAAAAAGUGCAAAGAGAUAAUCGGAAAGUUAAAAAUCAAAGUUUAAUGGUUGCUUGUAAUUGGCAGAUGUUGAGACGCCACCAUCGUUCCUGUCCUCCUACUUUAGCAAUCAGAUAUUCUUAUUGGCUGUGAUUAUUUUUUCGGGUGUAAUUCUUGAUCAUUCCAACUGUCAAUUGUUAGAAGCAAAAUUUUUUUUGAGAGUGUCAAGUGAAACUAACAGAACCCUCUCCAAAAAAAAAAUAAUUUGUAUGCGACAUGGUAUGAUAUGCAUCUUUUCUAGUUUUCUGCUACAAUAAUUGGGAGUCUUUUUGAAUCAACAACCAGUCUUCUAUCUUUGUGGAGGAAAUAAUUUUGUCGGUGUCUUCUGGCUUUGUGGUUGGAGAACUUAAAUAGUAGUAGUACUACUACUAAGUGUAAGCAGCUGGUUUGACAAAGAGAAGCCAAGGAUCAUUUGUUUAAAAACACACAAUUGCAGGCAAGACCAGACACAGCACAUGAGAUUAGGUAUUUAGGUCGGGGUUGGCAUGACGAAAUGGUUAUGUUUGCAUGAUAUCAGCACCAAGAACUCCCAUCUGGAUAACGAGUACCAGUAGUCGCAAUUACAUUUACCUAUAGCCUGUAGCCUGUAGCCUGUAGCCUGUAGCCUGUAGCCAUCACCAUCACUGAUACUACACAUACCUUUGAGUCUGCGCACGUACGCCGGCAUGCGUUAAAUUCACCGCCAAUAAUCAUUAAUAUUAUUAUUGUUUCCAUAUUACAAAUAAGGAAAAAAAUUAUUGGUUAAUUAAUAACAUUUACCAAAAUAUUUCAAGUCACGUGGUCUUUUAAUUCCUAGUAUUUUUCUACAUAUAAUAACUGUAUUUUGUUACGAGAAAUGUUAUUUACAUUUCAAAUUUUGUUACUCAUAUAUACUCUUCCUAUCCUUUUAUCAUAUAAUUUUUAUUUAUUAAAUUAUAUGAUAAAAUAAACAACGAGAGUGCAAAUAAUUAAAGUAUAUGAUUUAACAAAUAGUGGGAAUAUAAAUAACGUUUAUUUUCCCUUUUGUUACAAAUAAAUGCGGUGUCUUGAUCCUACUUCGUAAUCACAUACCUAAUACAUACAUACAUAUAUAUAUAUACAUAGUAGUAUUAUAGUUUUUUGUAGAGUAAAUCUCUAGCAUUAAUGCAGACCAUCUGUAUGUAUAUAUAUAUAUAUACACUAGCUUGUUAUCCAACUCAUCUUGCAACCACUAUAGAGCAAGCUUCAUUCUGCGUUUUUCAUCUAUUGUAGCUAUAACUGAAAACUAGAGAAGAAUUGUUGAUCAGCAGAAGCCAAUUUAAGCCAUUUUCAAUGGAUCAAACACCCCGUGUAGCCCUCUUACCAUCUCCCGGGAUGGGUCAUCUCAUCCCGCUGGUGGAGUUUGCUAAGCGCCUUAUUCUCCAACACAACUUCUCAGUCACCAUAAUUCUCCCGACGGAUGGACCUCUCUCUAAGGCACAAACCACCUUUCUUGCUGCUCUUCCUGCUGCCAUCGAUUAUAUUCUUCUUCCUCCUGUUAACUUCGACGACUUAGCUGACGACGUUAGGAUUGAGACGCGUAUUUCCCUCACCGUCACUCGCUCUCUUCCUUCCCUUCGUGUUGCGCUCAAGUCUUUGGUUGACACCACCAAGUUGCCCGCUCUCGUGGUCGAUCUUUUCGGCACGGAUGCCUUUGAUGUAGCCAAUGAAUUCAAGCUCCCGCCAUAUAUCUUCUUCCCUUCCACCGCCACGGCUUUAGCGUUUUUCUCCUACCUGCCUAAGCUUCAUGAGAUGGUUGCAUGUGAAUUUAGAGACUUGCCCGGGCCAAUUCGAGUCCCGGGUUGUGUACCAAUUCACGGGAGGGAUCUCCUCGACCCGGCUCAGGACCGAAAGAACGACGCCUACAAGUGGCUGCUUCACCACGCGAGGAGGUACAGCCUGGCCGAGGGAAUCCUGGUGAACAGCUUCAAGGACUUGGAGCCUGGACCUUUAAAAGCGUUGCAGGAGCAAGAACCGGGUAAGCCACCGGUUUAUCCGGUUGGACCACUUAUACAGAUGGGCUCAGGGGACAGGAGGGGGGAGGAGUCGGAAUGCUUGAAAUGGUUGGAUGAUCAGCCCAGCGGGUCCGUUCUGUACAUUUCGUUUGGGAGCGGCGGGACCCUCUCCCAUAAUCAGCUAAUCGAGCUAGCAUUUGGAUUGGAGAUGAGCGAGCAAAGAUUCUUGUGGGUGGUCCGGAGUCCAAAUGAUGGAGUUGCCAAUGCCACUUACUUCACCGUCCACAGUCAAAAUGAUCCUCUGGCUUUUAUGCCGGAAGGGUUCUUGGAUAGGAUCAAGGGUCGAGGUUUUUUGCUGCCAUCUUGGGCUCCACAGGCUAAAAUUCUCGGCCACAGUUCCACCGGUGGGUUUCUGACCCACUGCGGUUGGAACUCGACUCUUGAAAGCGUGGUUGAGGGGAUUCCGCUUAUUGCUUGGCCGCUCUACGCGGAGCAGAAGAUGAACGCCGUAAUGCUUGCGGAGGAUCUAAAAGUUGCUUUGAGGCCAAAGGCUGACGAAAAUGGAUUCGUGGGAAGAGUUGAGAUUGCAAACAUGGUAAAGAGGUUAAUGGAAGGAGAAGAAGGGAAGAGGCUCCGUAGCCGAAUGAAGGAGCUCAAGGAUGCAGCUGCUAAGGUUUUGAGCCAAGACGGUUCUUCCGCAGAAGCUCUAGCCCAAGUUGCCGGCAAGUGGCAGGCCAAAAUUUGUACGUAAAUUAGAUUAUAGCCUCGUCUUAGUUUUGCCCUUUCUGUUCUUGGUGUAUUUUUUUUUAUUUAAAAGCACCUUGUUCUGCGUUGGUUUCAAGCGCAUAAAUGUAGGAGGUGUAUUGUCUUUGGUUAAAUAAGUUAAAAAGGGUAAUUUGGUUUUGUAAAGAGGUCAGUUUCUAUGAGCCCCCAUUCUAUUAUUUUGGUGUUCGACUUGGAUGAGUAUUAAGUGGAGAAUGAGGAGCCGGCGAAGGCUUGGGCACGUCCAUUGCAUGACAAAAAUUCGAGAUGUGCUUGCUUGAGUACCUGUAAAAAUUCAUGCGGCUGCUCAUUUAGGAAUGGAGUGUUAUAAACCACUUGUGCUGUCCCAAAUACAUGGCUACUACUAGGUUGGUGGGAUCCGGGAUACGUGCAUCCAUGUAAAAUACAGGCAGGCAUACGAUUGCCACUUGUUAAGUUUUUAUCCCCUGCCCUCUUCUUAGUCCUUACCAAGGAGCGGGGAUGGGCCAAUAAGAAGGACAGGUUAAAAUUUGUGGUGGGCGCGGGCGUUAAGUGGAGUUGGUGGCUGCCUGCCAUCGUCACAAGGAUGCCCCAGUCUAUCCCGUAACAUGUAUACUUUCUUCUUCUUUUUUUGUGUGUGUAAAAUAGUGUACAGUGACUACAUUAGAUGCUGAUUACUCCGGCAUUGAACGGUGUCAGGUGUCGGAUUUCUUCUAGCGGUAGCGGGGAGGAGGUGGGGUGCAGGGAGAGGAGGUGGCGAGGGAAGGGGGGAGGGAGAGAGGAGGAAAGAAAAGAAAGAGAGGAGGGGGGUGUCGUUGCCAUCGUUGGAGAAGAUGCCGGCCGACAAGCCGAACAAGUGAAGAAGGAAGGAGAAAGGCAAAAAAGGAAAAAACUUUAUGGUGUAUUGGAAUAUUUUAGAGUGUGUGUCUUAAAAAUUUGGAAUAUUUUUAAAAGGUUUUUAUAGACAAAGUUGUAAAAGAAUUUGUCUAUAAAAUGCCCCUGAAAAAAACCAAUCCCAAGGGAACCCAUUGUUUUCUCUAUCUACAAUAUUCGAACCUGAAACCUUUCUUUUAGGAACAUCGAACUCCUUGUUAUUUAACCUAAUAACAGUUGGUAUUCACUAUAAUCACCUAAUAACCGUUGGUAUUCACUAUCUAACCCAAAACUUUCUAAAAUCACGGGUCUCGCAAGUUCCAAUUAUAAUUGGUCGAGGACAAAAUGAUUCCUUUUUACAUUUUCAUAUCACUCUCUUACUCUUUUUUUCAACUCCAGUAAAUAACUUUUCGUUGAAUUAAUAUCACUCUCUUACUUAUUUACAUUCUAUCUCGAUUCAUUUACAUCAUGCGUUCACUUAUUUACACCGUUAGAAACAAACUAGUUUGAACUAAACUUGUGAGGCCUUUUAUUCAAAUCAACACAAGUUGAUAAGGAUGGAUCACUUUCUCAUAAAAGAUCAUGUGUUUGAAUUUCAUAUUGUCACCGUAAAAGAUGUGUUAAUAAGCGAUCUAUACGAACUUCUGCGAGUAUGCUCUGAUAUGUGAUGAUGAUUAAAAUCGAACCCACCAAAAUAUUUUUAUUACACCAAAAAAAAAAAAGGCCCCUUAUCCAAUCUUCUAUUGCUCUCGGGUGGAUCAUUGGGAGGUGCAACUGCUAUUUUACCAAAUUGCUCUGCACUUCUGAAUAUUCUAGUCCCUAUUGAGUGACAGCUAUAGUGAUGCUAAAGCUGUUUAAAAAAUUAUUAGACAAUCCACGAAAGAUAUGAGAAUCCGUUCUUGUCUUGCACACUUUUAAUAAUGGUCAUGCAAAAUGUGUGUAAUCGUGAUUGUGUCUGUUCACAUUCUGACUUUGUCUAUGGAUUUCGUGUAUGCAAAAGCCAAAAGGACUUGUUCUGGUACGCUCUUCGAUUUGGGCAUUUGAACUGUUGGUGACUAUGAAAGACUUGAACCUUGACUUCCAAUCACUUGUGACUAUAAAUAAUUUCUUCUAAAUUCAUACGAUACGAUUGUAUAGUACAUCCGUUUGAUUCGAUAGUGAUUCAUGUGUCGCCGAUUCUUCUAUAAAUUAAGUUGGGUCAUCUCUCUAGAAUAAGUUAAAGUAGAAGAAGGAAUAGAAAUAGAUGUCGAGUAGAUAAGUGACGAUUGACCAAAAAAAUGCACGCUUUUCGAUCAUUAUAUAUAUUUUAUUGUAUACCAUAAAUUUAUUUUGUGAGCACUAAUUCAAUAUGUGCAAAACAUACAAUUAAGUUAAAAAAAAAAAAACACACACACACACACAAAAAGGUAUCUAAUUCUACUAACACAAUCAUAUUUUACCCCGAGCUAUAAAAAAUAUCAUACUGCAUGGUGAACUGGUGAUGGCUGAAAAAAAAAAAAAAAGAAAUGGCGAUGGCUGACAGACAAAAUUUUCUUGUGGUUCAUGACAAGGAUCACUCAAGCGAUAUCGCUGAAACAUGCCUGCUUUUUUUUUUUUUCUUUUAGCAGUAGUAGAUAUCAGGCAGCUUCGAAAUAUUUGUUACCCCUCGAAUGUAAAAGCAAAUCAAUUAUAGUGCAGCUUCUACAUAUCUUUAGAAUAAGAAUAACUAUUUAAAUAUUUAAUAACUAAGAUUUAUGAUUUAACAAAAGAAAUUCUAAAGUAAAAUAAAAUUACUUUCAAAAGGUAGAAUUUGCAAAAGAAUUAAUGCUUGAAAUAAGUUUAAUGGAAUUAGUGAAGAUUGAUGCUUGAUCAAAUAGAGACAAAUGUUGAAAAAUUUGGUGUUUAUCUUGACUAAUAACUCCUAUUGUUCUUUUUUAGUUCUAGUCAAUUUAGCAUUAAUAAUUUGUAUAUGUAGUUAAAUCUUCUUUUACUUGUGUUUAAUUUCUUCUCUUUGUCUUUUCUUUUUUUUUUCAUUUCGAUAUAGUGUUUCUUUAGUUGCUAGUUUAAAGUUAUAAUAAUCAUAUCCAAUAAAAGGAAUGAUUUGGAUAGCAGGUGGCUAAUGAGAGACUCAUUAGGAGGGAUCUCAGAUGUGAAAUUUUUUCUUUAAAUGUAGUUAAUUUGUAAUUGUUUAAAUACAAGGGAUAAAAUAAUUGUAAUUGUGUAUAUUCAUAUGAUAAGUUAAGUAUAAUUUAAGUUGCUAACUAGUACUCGGGAGGGAGUGAUAGGUUGGAGAAUGAGUGUAAGUGAGAGAUUCCAAAUUAGAAUCUUUCCAUUUACACUAAAAAAAUAAAAAAAAAAUUGCUAACUAGCACUUACUGAGUGCAUUUGUUAGAAAAAUCCAUAAAGGACUUGCUAAUUAAGAGUUAUAUUAACUGCUAAUACCAUGUAAACAUUAAAGUGAAACACAAAUACUAAUUGUAUACAAAAAUUAGUUUUGUAAUAAAUUUGUAUCUUAUAUUAGUAUAAGAAAACUUAAGAUUUGGUUUUAAACAGAGGCAUUUAAGUAUAUUCUCUAAUUGAUAUCUAAAUGGGAAACACGUUGGGGGGGCAAAGUGAUCAAAUUGGAUUUAAAAAUUAGGACUUCAUAGACAAGUUAAAAAUUUUUUUUAAGGGCCUACAUAGAUUUUUUGAAAAACUUUGGGGGGCGGCUGCCCCUAACUCCCCUCCCAAUAACGUCUGUCUGUCGUAAUAGAAUCUGGAGAAAAUUCAUGAUUUUGGAUUCUUAUGCAUCUUCCACUCCUUAUGCGUAGACUGAAUAGACCAUCCGAUUGAUGGUAUUCUUUUCUUUGCAAUUGUGUGGAAUUUAGUGGGACGUGUACUACAGGGCAUGUGAUAAUUUGGACGUAAUGGCCCCAACUCAUCUGUCAAACGUCUAUCCUAAUACUACUAUCCCAACCCUUCUUAGGUUUGGUGGUGCGGGAGGUCAAGGGUUCGAACCUUGCCUCCCACAAAAUUUGUCACAAUAUGUGACGGUUUUUAUUGACCAGUUUCGAUGGAAUUUCUACUCACAUCGAGUCCCCUCCCCCUCCCCCUAGAAUAUACUAGGUUAGAUUAUAGAAAUUCUAUCGUAUCGAUCAAAAAAAAAAAAGAAUGCAAAAGGAAAUCAACCACUGGGCCAAUGGCUCAGUGCCACCAGAGAGGGGCUUAAGUCUCUCCUUGGAUUGUAAGUGAGGGUUCAAAACUCACCUGUAAUAAAAAAAAUCUAAAGGUUGUGCCAGAGCACUCCCUUAAUGUAGUUGGGUCUGUAUACUCACUAGCCCCCUAUCACAGCCUCCUUAGGCUCCCUCGUUGCUAAUAAAUAAAAAAAAGAAUGCAAAAGGAAAUCAGCUUGACCACAAUAGCGACUCCAAUAUUCAACAAAUGAAGAGAUGGGGUGAAAAUCUUGCCUUAAUGUAGUUGGGUCUGUAUAUUCACUAGCCCCCUAUCAUAGUCUCCUUAGGCUCCCCCGUUGCUGAUAAAAAAAAAAAAAAAGAAUGCAAAAGGAAAUCAGCUUGACCACAAUAGCGACUCCAAUAUUCAACAAAUGAAGAGCUGGGGUGAAAAUCUUGCCUUGAAUCUUCAAGAUAAUGAUGGAUUACGUGAUGAUGUUGUGUGAAUUUGCAUAUUUUCUUUUCGUUUAGUUGGACUGAGCAAAGGACUUUUUGACUCCUUGCUGACAUAAAUAUUAUGGUAGAAUGAACUUUCUUCCGUUGAAACUUGAAAGUAUCGCUUGAGAACAUAUCAUUAUUUGAUUUUCCUUUCUUUCUUUUCUUAUGUAAUCCUUCUAGAGGAGGAAUCGAACAUAAACUGAACAUGCUAAUAUUUGAUAAAUAUGUUUAUGAUGCAAACGAAAUUUUAUUUAAAAAAAUUUACUAUUCUGAUAAAGUGAACACGUUGAUAUAUAUAUUUUUUAAGACGGCGACAUCAGAACACGUUGAUUUUGGUUAUGUCAAAUUUAGCUAGCUAUAGAAGCUUCCAAUUUUUUGCCAUUUAACAUUAUUGAAUUUCUCUAUUGGGGCUCUGUGAUUGAAGUUUCUGGUGUGGUGUGGUCGUCAUAUGCCCCGAGGAAUCACAUCAGCAAGCAUUCGCCCCCCUUCCAACAGCGCCGGCUCUUUUUGACUCCUAAUACUAACCACCACAGUGCAGGGCAGGGCUGGCAAAAAUAAAGAUGAUUCCAAAUUAAUUGGCGGCAGCCGAGGCUAAGCUGUUCUUGCCCGCUAUUAAUUAAUCAGGCAGAAUAUUCUGAAAUUUCCAUUGCCAUGAAUUGGAAAAUGCUCCUACUAACAACCCUUGUAACCCCAAAAAAAAAAAAAAAAAAAAGGAGAUAUCACUUUCUUUCUUACCAAAGCAUGAUGUCACUUUUACGUCAUCCACAUCCAUCGUGUUGCUCGUGGGAUGCACGAGCAAUAAAUAGACGAAACGAGUCGUCUCAUCAUGUCUUAGGUGUCGACUGCCGACACAAGAGGGUUUAAUCAGUAAAACAGAAUAUUUAUUCACGAAAAAUCGUGUGUUUAAAUGCUGAGAAUUGCCCACGGGUUAAAUCACCCGGUCUGCGGCUGGAAAACCACUCGCAAGGUCGUGGGAUCGAACCUUAAUGGUACUUAGGCGCAGGGGAUUAGUCGGGGUCUUGACCCGGACACCCCUGUGUUGACAAAAAAAAAAAAAAAAAAAAUGCUAAGAAUUGUGUUAAUUGAUAAUCGAUAAAAGUCUCUGUCAACUACUUAUGAUUUUGGGAGCAUGUCCUGUAUCAUGAUGGUAAAAGGAGCCAAACCCACCCAUAUUUUCUACCCAAAAAAAAAAAUCUCAUCUCCUGAGCUUCUUAAAAUAAUAGUAUGGAAGAUGUGACCCCCCCUGCCUGGGGCCGUUCCCUCUUUUGCAUUGCUCCAAAUGAAGCUUUCAGAAUAUAGACAGAAUGGAAUAUCACAACCCGAAAUUCUUACCAGAUGAUGAACAAGAAUAUGAAGUUAGCAAUUUUUAUAUUUUAGGAAUGAAUUAAUGACAUAGUUUACAGCUCGUUAUUGAAUGCGACUGAUGUGACACGUCACAAUUUUUAACCAAACUUCACUAAGAAUGUAGAAGUAAUGCUCGAAUAUUCUCCGUUGAAAAAAAAAAUGAAGACAGUUCAAGGAAGAAAAAAUAUUCGGUAUAUUUAAGGACAGAAGUGAUUAAAUUGUUCUUACCGCAUAAUUCAAUGAUGACAACAUAAAGAGCCAUUUUUGGUCAUCCAAUUUUCUAAGGAUUAAUUUUUUAUGCACUAACAGUACAGUAAUUUUUUUAUACUAGCAGUUCUGGAUGUAUGCUACAUAUAUAUUAUUUGAAUUCAUGUUAUGUGAUAUGAUCUAAACCUUGUUGUGUAAAAAGAAAAUUGUACAUAUGAAAAACAUAUUCAUUUUUUAAACAAAGAAAAAAUUAGAAUAUUUUUAUUAGUACUUCUUCCAACUACUUCGCUCAUUUUCUUAACAACCUUUUGUAUUCAUCAACCGAACAUCUCAAAGGUGGUACAAAUACUUUUUUUUUUUGGUUCAAAACAUAUUUCUAAUAGAUUCAAAUCAAACGGACAGUUUCAGUUUAUUACAUCUUCUGUUGUAUUAUAAGUUGUUAUUAAUUAGUGAAAGAAGUAAAUUAUAUGAAGUCAAAGAACAACACUCUAUAAAUAAAUAAUUAAUUAAAUAGACAGCAUUUUUUUGAUCAAAAUUAAAUUCCAGUGAUAUGCAAUUCCUUGUUUGGGUCGAUAAUUUCACUAGAUUGGCAUGGAAUGACGACCUUUUCUAUUGGAUCUGUGGUUUAUUUCAUAGGUCAUUUUCUUAAAGAGGCUAAAAAGAAUUUUUUUUUUUCAUUCUUUUCGUGGCGGUCUCUUACUCUCUUUAUUUGAGCUAUCCCAAUAAAUUAUUACCAUUGCAGGCUCCAUGUCAGGUUUAUUAUUUGGACGUUCCUGCAGACUUUUAUGACCCAUUACUCGUAAAAUGUUGCAAUAGAUGCAUGUUAGUGUCGAGCAAUUCAAAACCAAAUUUAAAACCGUAACCUGGUUCCUGACGUUUCUUAUUUCCUAAUAGGCUUCUUCUUCUUCUUCUUCUUUUUUUUUUUGUUUAGCACACGGACGUAUUAUAAUGAAUGCUUAACAUGCCACAUUUUAACAGAAUCAAUGGAAAUACGGUAGUGAUGCUGGAUUAUUCUCCACAGAGAGUAAAGACAGCUUAAGGGUCAAAAGAAGAGGAAAAAAUGAAGGACAGACCAGACGUGCAAACAAACAGAUAAUAUAAUAGGACCCAAUAAAUUGUCGCCAUUGCAGGCUCUUUACUCUUCUACAUUCCUCAUUUCCUGUAGACUUCUGUGACCCAAUUACUCGUAAAAUGUUGCAAAAAACAUGGAGCAAUUCAAACCCUCUUUUUUUUUUUUUUUUUUUUUUUUGUGUCAGGGUGAUUAAAGGAAUACAAAAUUCUUGGAGACGACAUGGUCUUUAUAAUAAAAAAUAUAUAUAUAUAUAUAUAUAUAUAUGAAGGGCAGCUUUGCAUAUUUUAAGGUUGGUAAAGUCAAGGUAGAGAAAUUGAACCACUUGUGAUUCAUUAGCUUCAGAGGCCAAAGAUUCCAACACUAUUAAUAUGUGUUUUAGCUAAGUGAAGGGGUAGGGGCGUGAAGAGGGUUUGCAAUUGCAUAGCAAUGUUGGAUUUGAGUCCAUUAUAUGUACUUUGAUUUAGUUGAGCUAAAUCCCUUUUUUUUUUUUGACUCAACUGUUCUAGAAAGCAGGAUCGAGCUCGGCGGAAUCAAUUUACCUGCAGAAAUACCCUUUUUUUUUUGGUUGGGAUUGAAUUUAGAUUGCAGGAGUUGAGUUGGAAAUAUUCCAAGCGCAACGCAAUGGGAGUCUAUGAUUCCCCAGCAAUGAUGUUGCAGGGCAGGAGGAGCCAGGAUUAGGAUUAUGAAUAAAGUAACCACAAAUUGAUACAGUUGGUCUGGCAAUUAGUCCCAUAUGUGAUUUGUAAUUUAUGUAUGCACAGUAGCCAAUGGAUAGCUUCUUUGAAAGUUAAGUUAAACGCUUUGAGUCAUGAGUUGUGCCUAACCACCAACCCCCUGCAGUAUUAGUAUUAGUACUAGAUCAGUAAUUUUUUUUUUUGACAUCUGACUUUUUUUUUUUCCUUUGUAUUGGUUGGUUAAUCAGUCCCCGCCAAUAAUUAUCAUGAAUGAUUACAACAUCCAAAUUAAAAAAGAUGUGAUAUGAAGCAUAUCAUAUUAGUAUUAAAAUACACGACAUAUCCUAAGUUUCCAAUUGCUUUCAUCAUGAGGAUGUCCACAAAAGUUCUACUACUUAAUUAAUUUUUAUGUGCUAAUUAGGCACACAUGUUAGAUUAGUUGAGAAACCGAUCGAUCAAACCAGUUAAGCAUGUUCGUUAAUUAUGUCAAGCUCGAGUCUUAACACGUCUUCUUGCAAUUAAACUUAAUAAAUUAAGUGCCUUUACGCAUUUGAAAGAAGAAAGAGCACCAUUAAUUACCAUUUUUUGUUUUUCCUUGUAGCAUUCUUUUUUCACUCUCUAUAUUAUUAUAUGUGAAUGGAAUUAUGGAACCAACCCCACACUAAGCGUGGAUUCAUUUGUAUUAGUAGAAGGUCUUGACGUUCGGUAAUGAACACAAGGAACUGGACUCCAUAUCUAAGAAGUUAUGGUAGCAUUUGCUUUCAAGUUCCAAUGCUCAUAUUAAUCAUGAUUUCUAUCUGGAAUUAAUAUUUCUAUGCACCUUGAUGGAUAUUUACAAUUCUUUCUUUCAAUUAACCAACAAUUUUUUUAAAGUGAUAAUUCCAUUCACAAACUAAAUUACUAUGAACUAUAUAUGUCAGUCAAUUUUGUUAAGCAAAGCUUUAAAUGAAUUUUCUAGAAGGAGUUGAUGAGAAUGGACGCACUUGAUUUAGUCAAAUUUAUAAUCAACCAUUACGAAACCUUAAAAACAAAAAAAAAAAAAAAGAUUUGUUUGAUAUUUCUUAUCAACUAAACGAACGAGAAGACAACGAAGAAACUUUCACCUAAAAGAUGGAAAAUCGAAAUCCAUAUUACCAUUGCUAGUAGACUAUCAAACAAAAGAUACACAAAAUUACAACAUACAUUGAAAGAGAGGUGCUACUCUGCUCUAUGACCAACGAUCAAUCAGAAGGAAUUGAAAAUUUUUCUAGAAAGUGAAGAUUUUGCCAUGACUAAAUUGACAAUCGAUCGUGGUAUGAGGUAGAGCUGUUUUCCUAGUGAUAUGUGGUUUGUGUGUUGAAACUUUUGUAAGUGUGACUGUAGAAUCAUAUUUUUUAAUGGCCUAAACAGAUUUCCAAGUGGGUUAUCUAUAUCUUCAAGAUUCAUUGUAGUUCACCAAUUUGUGAUUAUUUUCAAUGAAUCGCAGAUGAUCAUAACCAGUGGCCGACACGGCAUCUUGUUGCUCUUGUUUGAGCUAGGUCAAGCAAAGGAAUUUUAGCGCCAAAAACAAACAAUAUAUAGGGUUAGAAUCAACAUAAGUUGAGUUACCCUUUGCUAGAUUCUAAAUUUUAACUUUUUUGGCCUAUUAAAAAAAAUCUACAAAAAACAAGCCAAGUAUAGGGCCAUAUAAUGUUAUUGAUAUUUCACUUUAUGAAAUCUUUUUAUUUCUCGGAACUGCGGCAGGCAUAUGCACGCUCAAAGACAUUGGCCGAGAAAGAAGUGCUGAGAUACAAUGAUGAGAAGAAAUUAGAGGUGGUGAGUCUUGUUUGUGGACUUGUUGGAGGAUACAAAUUUCAAUCCUUGAUAGGCGAAAGCAUGAGAGUGCUAGUAUCCCAUGUUACCAAAGCCAAGAUGAGGUAUCAAAGGUUUUUGGUGGGAGUGAUUGGAAAACUUCCAGUUUUGCACGUUGAAGAUGUUAUUGAUGCCCAUAUCUUCUGCGUGGAAAACCCGGGCUUCACUGGCAGAUUUCUAUGUGCUUCUGAUCUUCUAAAAUCAGAGGAGAUUGCAACGUUGAUUCAAAGUUGUUGCUCAGAAAGCAAAAUUCCCGAUGAGUAAGGCUUACCUUUAACCAUUUUUAUAAAUUAUAUUGAUGUGCCAUAGUUUUAGAGUCUGUCUUUGGGUCUUUGAAAUCAUAGGAACUUCCGUCGUAUCAAAAUGAGUAAAUGGUAAAAAUGGUCGCUACAUUAUUUAAAGUGGCAUGGUCUAGUUACUAAUCUUUUUUCCUUCUUCGAUCAAAAAGGUCAUUCAACUCCUUAAAACGGAUCUUUCAUGUCAUAUCGUCCAAUUUAACUAAUAAACCAAUCUAAAAAAAAGAAAAAAAAAACAUAUUUUGUAACCUUUGGCCAAAUAACUUUUGAGCAAAACUCACAAGCACAAAAUAGUUAACCCGAGUUGUUUAGUAGUUUUUGGACCCAAGCUUAUAAGCCAAAGAUUUCAUCUCCGACUCUACUGAUGUGGGACAAAGGAACGGGUAUCACAUAUUUGACCUACUCUUAUAGGUUUUCAGGAGAAAAAGUCCUAAAAUAUAGAUCAUUUUCGGUAAAUUUAGCAGAGACUGACUCAAAAAGCCUGUUUUAAGGAAUUGCAUGACCUUUUUGCCCCAAAAAAAAGGUUUAAUGAUCAAAUCGUGCUAUUUUAAAUAGUUUAAUCACCAUUCUCGUCAUUUGCUCUAUCAAAAUUUGAGUUACACAGAAACGUACUUUAAGUCUAGUGUUAGCCAUAUACAAGUUAAAUCUGAAUAUCAUCCGUAGGACAAAUCACAUGAAUAACAAUGCAGUUUAGCCGAAAGUGAAUCGUUAGUUUAACUUUGAAACGUUACCAUUGGAAAGACCAUAAUAGUCGUUUAAAUUUAAGAGGGCAGAAUCUUAUCAGUACUUCAUAGUAUAUUUCUUUUUUUCCAACCGUCCUUUAUUUUUGCUUUACCCAUCUGGAGCAGUGUUUACUCAGCCCAGAACUGUUUCUCUUCAUGGUAUGAAAUGGGAAAUGGGGUAAAUGAACCAACGGAAGUUCAUGCACACCCCAAUCUGUCGAGAGGGCCUAGACCCAAUAAAUGUUCCAAAUUAUCCAAUGCCAAGGCAAAGACUUGGAUCCACUCUGUCCUCCAACCGGCUUUACCAACUGUGAUUGAGGAGUAUAAUGCUAAGGCAAAAACUUGCAUAAACUCGAUCCACCAUUUAAUAUAGAUCUCGUGGAGAUAAAUAAGGCACGUCACUUUUUUUUUUGCUUUACGACCUUCAGGCAUUUCGGAAAAAAAUGACGUGACAAGUUUGUGGCCACACGAUCUAUAGCGUUGCCAGUGGACCAGUUUGUCCAAGUAUUUGCCUAAUGCCAACUGUUUGGUGUGCACGCUGGUAGACGAAGUACUUUUUUCUGACGUCAAUAUACUGUGGUUAACAAUAAUUAUGUUCUGAUUGUGGCUUUUUUUUUUUUCAGGUUCAUUGAGGAUUCGAAUAGAGAUAUUAGAUGGGGUUCUUCAAAGCUGGAGGAAUUGGGCUUUCACUACAAAUAUGACGCUGUGAUGACCCUAAAUGACUCUCCUCAGUAUUUCAGGGUUCCACUGGAGAGUUCCUAAAACACUACCAUAUAAGCAUGUUUCUGUUCAGUCAUUUCUAAUAAGGCUGAGAAAUCCCACCUUACAAGUAAGGAAAAGUUUAUGGUCCCUUUUGGGAACCAUUUUAUCAACUUGUAUCUCUCAUUAAAGAUAAUAAUUUAAAUUUUAAACAUUUAAUAAUGUUUAAACUAGAGGUCAAUAGCAUUUUUUUCACCAUCUAACGAUGAAUUUCACUUGCGGGUAUGAUAUCAAAAUGGACCGUAGAAUCACCUUAAAAGUAAAACCCUUUUUUGUGUCAAAUCUCAAUAGAUAAUAUAAUAAAAAUAGGGUCUCUCACAUUUUGUAAAAUAAUUUUUUCGUCUCUCACUUUUAAAAAUGUAAUUUUACGUCAUUUAUAAAUUCACAUUGGUCAAAUUUGGUCCCUACCUAAAUUUUCGACUAAUUUUUUGUCGAAAUCUAUCACGUGCCUUGCAGGUGAUCAUUUUUAAGGGGUAAAAUCGUGAAAUCAAAUUUUACAUAAUCCGAUCUAUAGUCCCUCACAUUUCACAAAAUGAAUUGUUUCAUCCAUCACAUUUUAUAAAAUGAAUUUUUCAAUCCCUCAUUGACCAUGUGUACAAAUAUUUUUUCUUUAAACUCAUGUAUAUAUCUAUUUGAUUUCACCUGAAUACUAUGAAUAACAUAUAACAUAUCUCUAUUUGAUUUCAUCUAAACAGGCUAAUUGUAGUUGUACACAUGCUAUUCAAUAGAUAUAUACUUGCGUUUAAAGCUAACAAGUUUGUUUUAAACUCAUGUAUAUACCCAUUUGAUUUCACCAUGUGAACCUAUUCAAUAUUUAUGACCUUUUCUCUUUUGGUAAUAAUUCAUUUAUUGAGUUGUAUAAUAAGACCAUCUAAUUAAUCGGUCCUAAUUUGAAUUCUAUAGUCAUAAUAACAAAUUGCAAUUUAAAUUUGAAAUUUCUACUCGCCACCUUUAAGACCAACAGUUAAACUACUUGUCUUGUGAUUGUUUUAAAAUUUGAGAGUGCCAAUCACUUACUUCUUUUUGUCAUACUUUUCAUUUAUUUAUUUUUUCUCUUCAAAUUUAAUUCGAUAUAAACAUUCGAUAAUGUUUAGGAUUAAAUGUCUUAUUUGUUUUCAAUUUUUGAGUAAAAAGAAAUGAACAUGAGUGAAAAAAUAACAAUUUUUUUAAAUUCAUAUAUAUAUCUAUUUAAUUUCGUCUGAACAAUAUGUUUAGAUGAAUCAAAUAGAAAUAUAUUACAUGCUAUUCGUACUAUUUAAGUGAAAUCAAAUAGAUAUAUAUAUACAUAUAUAUGGGUUAAAAAAAUUAUUCAUAUAUAUGAUCAAUGAAAAAUAAAAAAAUUCAUUUUAUAAAAUGUGAAGAGUGGAAAAUUUUAUUUUGUGAAAUGUGAGAAACGAAAAAAUUCAUUUUGUAAAAUGUGAGAAAUUAUGGAUCGGAUUAUGUAAAAUUUGAUUUGACAAUUUUUCCCUUAAAAAAUGUUCACAUAGAAGGCACGUAGUGGAUUCUGAUAAAAAAUUAAUUGAAAACUUAUGUAGGGAUCAAAUUUGACCAAUGUUAAUUUGUAAAAGACGUAAAAUUACACUUUUAAAAAUAAGGGACAAAAAAAGUUAUUUUACAAAAUGUAAGUGACAUUUUGAAUGAUUUUCCCGUAAAAAUAUGUUGAAUAAGUGAAAAAAAUAUAAAUAAUGCCACUUUCAGAAGAAAUUCUUGAAGUGGACUGUCAUUCAAUGUUGUUGAAAUGGUCAAAACAAUCUUUAUGAUUUUUAUAUUUUGUGGUUUAUUUAAUGACCAUACGUACUAACGGUCUGAUACUGGAUUGCAUGAAUUAAAGGUACAGGCGACUCUAGGGUCUGGCCUUUUUGCUUUCAAUUUUGCCUCCUACUCCUUUUUAUUUUUUAUUUUUUAUUUUUUCAGAAUCUGUUCUCUAGUUUUUGAGUCUGAUAACAUGAUUUUAGCCGAUCAGCUUACUCAAGAUUCAUCUACCAAAAGGUUUAUUUUGCUAAAUCAAACAUUGAAACUCGAUUUAAUUUAUAAUUCUACGUACACAUCACCUGAAGGAAAAAGGUGACCAUACAUCAAUCAUCAUGAAAUACAGAAAUUACAAAUGAACACUACCUACUAUGAUUGAUAUCUUCCGAGAUCAAAUCAGCAUUUAAUUUUUUUUUGACAUCUGAUUUUGUUUUCCUUUGUAUUGGUUGGUUAACCAGUCCCCGCCAAUAAUUAUCAUGAAUGAUUGCAAACAUCCAAAUUAAAAAGAUAUGAUAUGAAGCCUUAAUUAAUUAAAACCUUAAUUAAAUUUUAUGUACUUCAAUGAGAACCGAUCGAUCAAACUAGUUAAGCAUGUUCGUUAAUUAUGUCAAGCUCGAGUCGUAACACGUCUUCUUGUAAUUAAACAUAAUAAAUUAAGCGCCUUUACGCAUUUGAAAGAAGAAAGAGCACCAUUAAUUACCAUUUUUUUGUUUUUCCUUGUAGUAUUCUUUUUCAGUCUCUCUAUAUUAUUAUAUGUGAAUGGAAUUAUGGAACCAACCCCACACUAAGCAUGCAUUCAUUUGUAUUAGUAGAAGGUCUUAACGUUCGGUAAUGAACACAAGGAACUGGACUCCAUAUCUAAGAAGCUAUGGUAGCAUUUUCUUUCAAGUUCCAAUGCUCAUAUUAAUCAUGAUUGCUAUCUGGAAUUAAUAUUGAAAGAAAAAUAUUUACGCAGCGGAAUGAGCAAACAAUUUUUCGAUGUUAUUGCUUGAAUUUGCAAUUUGAUUCAGGCCUUGAUAUUUCAAAACAAAUAAAUACUUACUUGUUUAGACGAAUAUGCGAUGCCUGCUACAGAUGUUCGAAUUCCAGCAAUCAGCCUUCCACGCGUUACGCCUCUAGCUCGUCCACACAGACUCAAACUAAUGGAUUACUGAAUUUUGGAGUUUUGUCUUUUGUAGAGAAGAAAUAACUUUCUUUCUUUUCAAAAGACCAGCCGCAAUUGCCUCUCACCCUUUUUGGGACCUUGCCCAACUUUUGUCAAUAGGGUUUUAUUUAUAUAGUUGUUUUGAUUAGAUCAAUAUCUUAUACUAUCUUGAUCAAAUCAAUAUAACACAACUCAUAUGAUUAUCCAACCCAUAUUUGAUUCUUAUCUUGAUCAAAUCAAAACAACCGAUAUAUAUUUUAUUCUCAUCUUGAUCAAAUCAAAAUAGAAUAAAAUUAAUACAAUUAUUUAAUUCAUGUUUUAGUUUUGAUCACAUCAAAAUAUAAACACCAUUAAUAUAAUUAUAUUAACUGUUCUCUUCAUCUUUAUAAUAUUUGAGUCAUACAUAAAUACCAACUCCAAAUUCAGUCUAGAUUGGGUUUCAAGAUGUGCUAGCAUACUUACCAAAGUAUAAACCCAUUCUAAUCAAUUUCCCUAUUAGUUCAAAUCCUUUUGUGUGUGACUAUCUAGGUUCAUUACCCAGUUGGCAAUGUAAUAAACGUUAACCUAUUAACAUUAGUUAGAACAUUUCUAACACUUGAGAAGUUCUCCAAAUAUACCUCAAGUUAACAUAGUUCAUGAGUGAUGCCUAGCAGCAUAUCAUGACGCCCAACCGAUGAUGAAAGAUUGGAAUCCUUCUACGUGAACCAUGACUGCAAUUGUUUUGCAUAAAAAUCCUUCUAUUACUAUAUCCCUAUUGAGUUCAGUUUAGUAAUAAUGUCAAACUCUAAAACUCAAUCGUAUGACUUAAUCUAUCAAAUUACUUGACUAUAAAAUUGAUCAUCUACAUGAAUCAAUUUGUCUUGGCCAAGAACUCCUUUAGUCAAGAUUGAUAGAUUUCAUAAGAUAUCAAACCAUUCAUGAUGGAAUAAUAGAUCCCAUUUUGCAUAAACACUUGGCUCCAUGCAUAACUAAUUAGAGGUACCAUAUGCCAAUACUCAUCCGUGAUUAGAACAAGUAUUUUCUGCAUUGAUAGACUUUAACCACCCAUGAAUGAGCCAACCAUGUCAUCUCAGGUCUAAGGAUCACAUGCACCAUUGCAAUCAAUAAUGAAUCAUUGACAUUAAUAAGCUAAUGAUUCAUUAUUUAAAUUAGUUAGUGUUCAAGCCAACUUGUCACACAAGUGCCUCUCAUAUUUGUUCUAAUAUCACAUACUUAAUGGUAUGAGACUCGCCAUUCUAUUAUCAUUAAUAUCUCAUAUUAAUCAUAGAAAAUAAAUAUGAGACUAAUCUUCCGAAUUAAACUUGUCCAAUUAAUAAUCCUAUGAUUAGGAACAAUUUAAUAUUAUUUGUACCAAGUUUUUCCGUCACUCAUAUUCUCAUCACAUGAGAAUGGAAUCUUAACAAAUAAUAAUGGACAACAUUCAAUCAAAUCUAAACCAAGAAUAAUUGAAUCAAGAAGUGCCAUUUUAUUUUAAUCAAGACAAUAAUUAUUAAUGCUCUAGGGCAUACUGCUAACAAAUAUUUCUAUGCACCUUGAUGGAUAUUUACAGUCUUUCUUUCAAUUAACCAACUUUUUUUUUAAAGUGAUAAUUUCAUUCACAGACUAAAUUACUAUGAACUAGGUCAGUCAAUUGUGUUAAGCAAAGCUUUAAAUGAAUUUUCUAGAAGGAGUUGAUGAGAAUGGACGCAAUUGAUUUAGUCAAAUUUAGAAUCAACCAUUACGAAACCUUAAAAACAAAAAACAAAAAAAAAAAGAUUUGUUUGAUAUUUCUUAUCAACUAAACGAACGAGAACACAACGAAGAAACUUUCACCUAAAAGAUCGAAAAUCGAAAUCCAUAUUACCAUUGCUAGUAGACUAUCAAACAAAACGCACUUGAGUUUUUUGCCAAAUUUGUCAGUUACAAGUUUUUUAAAAACUUUAGUUAUAGUAAUCUAAAAAAAUUUCUCAAAAAUUUUAAACUAUACAUUUCAAAAUAUAUAAAAAUUUACACACUUCAAAAAAUUUUUUAAAAUUUAUAUAAUAAGUUACAGUAAAGUUUUAGACAAACGCCUAAAAAAUUCAUUUCUUAAAUAGGGCCAUAGAUUGAAAGAGAGGUGUUACUCUGCUCUACAACCAAUGACCAAUUAGAAGGAAUUGAAAGUUUUUCUAGAAAGUUGAAGAUUUUGCCAUGACUAAAUUGACAAUCGGUAAUGGUAUGAGGUAGAACUGUUUUUCUAAUGAUUUGUGGUGUGCGUGUUGAAACUUUUGUUAGUGCGAUUCUUCAAUGGCCUGAAUAGAUUUUCAACUGGAUUAUCUGUAUUUUCAAGAUUCAUUGUAGUCCACCAAUUUGUGAUUAUUUUCAAUGAAUGGCAGAUGAUCAUAACCAGUGGCCAACACGGCUUCGUGUUGCUCUUGUUCGAGCCAGGUCAAGCCAAGGAAUUUAGUGCCAAAAACAAACAAAAUAAAGUGAAUUUUUUUUUAUAAAAAAAAAAAAAAAAAGAAAAAGAGAGAGAGAGAGAGCCUUAAGCUAAGACAUGAAUAUUCGGGGAUUUCCGGUAUGGGUCAUUUAAUGAAAUGAAUAUCGUCCAGUUACCACCCAAAACAAAAAAAGGAAAAAAAAAAAAAAAAGAACAUCCAUACGCCAAAAUUAUUGGUAAAUGGUCACAACAAUAUACUAUUCGGUAUUGUUAAGCAAACAUAAAUAAGUUCAGUACAAAUAGAUGCUAGUUUUCGUUUCAAAAUUAGUGGAUUAUUAGUUGGUUAUUGAUUGUAAUGUUAUUAAAUAUAAUUGGUAUAUAUUAAUUCCACCACUGUGGACUGAUUAUAAUCAUAUGAAAAUUUUUUCCCCCCUUUUGUAAGGCUCAUUUCUCAUUUAUUUUUUUCAUUAAGUGUAAACUUCAAUUUUUUAAAUUUACUUUUAUAAGUGAAAGACGUCGAAUUAAGAACCUCCCAUUUAUAAUAUUUUUUAUCUUAUCAUCUAAUCCAAUCCUGGUCAACAACUUCAAGUUUCCUUCCUACCCAAUCCAAUCCUUCCCGGUCGACAACUUCAAGUUUCACUUCCUAGCAAAACUCAAACAAUUAUUCAAGUUCUUCUCAAUAGUUAUAUAAGAAACCUCCAAAAACACCAAGCACCAUAUCUUGAAAAUAGUGGAUGACAUCAUCCACUAUUUAUCAUCCACUAUUUUUGAAGAUAUGGAUUGGAAACGUCAAUUUUGGCGACAUAACGUAAUCGAGGACUGAGGACGAGAUGUCAGUGAUCGUGGAAAAAAUUUGGCUUUCACAAUAUAAUAAUAAUAUAUAACAAUACAGGCAGAUUAUGCUACAUUAUAUUAUUAUACUACAAGAGGAAAAAGAUUCACCUGAGCGCAAGUGGGAGCACCAUGCUCCAGCAUCAAUGUACUCCGAUCCUCGAGAAGCAACAAAUGACCACCCCAGCCUCCAAAGUAAAAUUAAUUAUAGGGAUAAUUUCAAAAAACCUCCCCUAAAGUUUAAAAAAUUACACUUAUAUCCCUUAAUUUAAUAGUUUUAAUAAUAAAACCUUAAAAUAAUAUUGACUUGAUCAAUUUUUUAAAUGAAUAUCCAAAAAAUGCACUUGUCUGAUGAAUUUUAAUUUAUUUUUCUAUACAAUUAUAAGAUUAUUUAGUAUAAUUAUAAGGCAAAUGUACCAAAAUUUUCAUGCCUAUUUCUACUAUUUGAUAAAUAAUUAUAAUAAUAAUUUUAUUACUAUGAUAUGAUGCUUUUGAUGGUAUUUUAUUAUAAAUUUUGAUUUAUAAGAUAGAAAUGAAAAUGUUGAAAUAGUUCAUUUAGAGUUUAUGAAUUUUUGGAGCGGUGGGAUAUCAUAUUUUAAUAGUGGUUUUGGGCCAUUAUUUAUUUAUUUUUAAUUUUAAUACCAAAAAAAGAUUACAAAUAUCAGCAAAAACAUUGGAUUGCAUAUAAAAUUAACUCAUAAAAAAAUCACUACUUCGACAUUUAGUUAUAAUAAAAACUAGAGGCAAUAGUGGUAGUUCUAUAAUUUUAUUGGUAAGCAAUUUAAAAAAAAAGAAUGAAAAAAUAAUUUAAAAACUCAUUCUAAGAAUAAGCAUGCCAAAUAGGCCUGUCAACGGGUCGGAACUAAUAAAUCCGGACCGAACCCGUUAUUCUAUACCAGUUUCGAAUCCGACUCGGAUAUCCGACGGGUAUUCUAUUCUUUCUCCAGGAACCGGAUCCGGCGGGUCCUAGAUCCAGGUCGGACCUACCCGAAAAAAUUAUAUAUUUUUAAAAUAAUAGUUACAGAAGUAAAUUUGGAAUAUUAUAUUAAUAAAUAUAUACUUUUUAAAUUAUUAAUCAAUUUAUAUUCGGGUUCGGGUCGAAUACGGGUCGAAAAUACCACAUUUCGUAUCCGAUUUGUUUUUUGUUUAACAAAACGGAUCCGGAUCCGGGUCCCGGAAUUAUAUCCCUACCCGUAUCCGAAAUAAUUUGACUGAUCCGGUCCGGAUUCAAUAGACCGUUGACAAGCCUAAUGCCAAAUAAGGAAAUUUCAUUAAAAUAUUUAAAAAUAAAAUUAUUAUUUUAAAUAAUAAGGGAGGUAUGUAUAAUUUUUUAAAUUUCAGGAGAGCUCAAUGUGAUUGUCAGAAACCUAUAUCCCUUAAUUAUAUUGUGCUGUAUCAUGCAAACAAAGUGCUCCUAUAUACAACCCUUGGCCACAUCAAUCAGUCACCAGAUUUAAUUGCAAAAAAUGAACACCAAGGUUUGCGUCACGGGAGCUGCAGGCUAUCUCGGUUCUGCCCUCGUUCACAAGUUGCUGGAAAAAGGGUAUGCCGUCCAUGCUACUCUCCGGAAUUUAGGUAGGCAACCUGCCAUGCCAAUCUUUACUUCUUGGUCUCUCUCUGUCUUUCUUUCUAUCACUUACACACUGCCUAAGUAAUGAGGAGAUGGCUGAGCAAUUAGAGCUAUUAGGGUCGAAGUACUGGCGGGCUUUGUUAUACGUUGACAGGCUAAUUAAGCAAGAAGGGUUUCGUUUUAACAGCUAAAUACUUGUAUGUGAUGAUCUAGGAAAAAAGUUAAGAAAGUAGUGCACAUGUACGUGCAGGUGAUGCAUCAAAGACAGGGCUGCUCAAAGCUCUUCCCCACGCAGACACAAGGCUCUUAUUGUUUCAGGCAGAUAUCUACAAUCCUGAUGAGUUUGGUCCUGCUAUUCAAGGCUGCCAGGUGGUUUUCCACGUUGCCACUCCCUUGCAGCACGACGCCUCCAGCUCUCAGGUUCCAAUUCUCGAACCGUUAGAGAAGAAAAAAAAUGGAAAAAAAAACUAUAAUGUUGCUGCUGGGUUAAUGAUGCUUUCUUUCAAAAUUAACGAAGCUAAAACGGAAUUUCCCUACAGCAAUAUGAAGAAAUUCUCCUCCCUGGAACGAUUUGUGGAGGAUAUUGUUUUGAUUUCACGAGGUGAAGAACCAAAACUAGUUUCAUUGAUGCCUCAGAUGUAUGCUAUUCAAAUACACAGUUUCAGCGAUGCCUCUUGAAAAAGUACCCAUUUAAUAGGCACCCUUUUAGGGAAUACACACAUAUCUUUUCUUAAGAUUCAACCAAAAUGGCCCAAAGUGCCGAUUUAUUGACUUUUGAAUAUAAUCUAUUGCAACAGUCAAAAGAAGACAAAUGCGCAUGACACUCAGCAAUUUUCCUCCAAAAGUUUCCCACAAAAGAAAUUCAACUGAGUUGGUGUAAAGCUUUAAUUUAUGUCUUUUGAUCUUCUACAAACUUUCCAAUUUGGGAUUCCAACCAAUACACCGCCAACGAUACUUACAAUACAUAGCAUUAACUACCCCACUAGAUGGUGUAUUAUGUGGGCGUGUUUGGAUAGAAGAUUAUUUGGGAUUUUUUUUUUUUGAAAAAAAUAUUAUAGCAUUUUUUGAUGUGACAUAUAUGAGAUCACAUAAAAAAUUGAUUCAAAAAUAUGCUGAUGCUAUAUGCAAAUAAAAGGGCGAAAAAUUAUUAGUAUUAUUAUGCUCGUGUGACUUACAUUACAUGUCUAUCAAGUACAGCUGAAAGUUUGCAUCGGCACUGUUGUGGUAGACGAUUAGUAUAUAUAUUAACUAUAGGAAGAAUGCAGAAAUGGCGUGCCUGAUGAACUUAUAAUUUGGGAGUCGAUUUUGAGGACCUAAGGAGAUCGAGUUUAAGGUGCCUGAAACCAAUUUUUGGGACUUAAAUUUCGAUUAAUUUGAGGUGCAUUACGGCAGCAUAUUUAAACUGGUUGGAUUAAUUGUUCUGUGACCCUAUCAAGUGUACAAUGAUUACGCAUGCAGUAUAAGAAUACUUGUGAGGCAGCUGUUGCUGGGGUGAAGACCAUUGCUGAAUCCUGCAUCAAAUCAGGAACUGUGAAGCAACUCAUCUACACUGCCUCUGUUGUAGCAUCAUCAGCAUUAAAGGAUGAUGGAUCAGGCUACAAGGACACAAUCGAUGAAUCCUGUUGGACUCCUCUCAAUGUCUCCUAUAGAUGCGCCACAGAUUUCUUAACUGUAUGUAGUAGGUCUAUCCUCAUUCUUACUCAGAUUGCACUGCUUUAGCAAAGUAUAUUUGGAUUAUUAGUUUCAAUCUAAUCUCUUAUGAUAACAAGCCUAAUGCCUUAUUCUCGUUUGCUUUAAAAUUAAUUUUUUGUCAAAAUUAACGUGGAAACUGAUUAUAUAGAAUAAUUAGAAUCAACAUGAGUUAAUGUUACCCUUUGCUAGAUUCUAAAUUUUAACUUCUUUGGCCUAUUAAAAAAAAUCUACAAAAAAAAAAAAAAAGUCAAAUAUAGGGCCAUAUGAUGUUAUUGAUAUUUCACUUUGUCAAAUCUUUUUAUUUCUCGGCGCUGCGGCAGGCAUAUGUACGCUCAAAGACAUUGGCCGAAAAAGAAGUGCUGAGAUACAAUGAUGAGAAGAAAUUAGAGGUGGUGAGUCUUGUUUGUGGAAUUGUUGGAGGAUACAAAUUUCAAUCCUUGAUAGGCGAAAGCAUGAGAGUGCUAAUAUCCCAAGCUACCAAAGACAAGAUGAGGUAUCAAACUCUAAGGUUUUUGGAGGAAGUGAUUGGAAAAAUUCCAGUUUUGCACAUUGAAGAUGUUAUUGAUGCCCAUAUCUUCUGCGUGGAAAACCCGGGCUUCACUGGCAGAUUUCUAUGUGCUUCUGAUCUUCUAAAAUCAGAGGAGAUUGCAACGUUGAUUCAAAGUCGUUGCUCAGAAAGCAAAAUUCCCGAUGAGUAAGGCUUACCUUUAACUACUUUUAUAAAUUAUAUUGACGUGCCAUAUAGUUUUAGAGUCUCUCGUGGGUCUUUGAAAUCAUAGGAACUUCCGUCGUAUCAAAAUGAGUAAAUGGUAAAAAUGGCCGCUACAUUAUUAUUUAAAGCGGCACGGUCUAGUUAUCAAACUUUUUUUCUUUUUCGAUCAAAAAGGUCAUUCAACUCCUUAAAACGGGCAUUUAGUGUCAUAUCGACCAAUUUAAUCAAUAAAUCAAUCUAGAAAAAGAAAAAAAAAAUCUUUUGUAACCCUUGGCCCAAAUAAAUUUUGAGCAAAAUUCAUAGGCACAAAAUGGUUAACCUAAGUUGUUUAGUAGUCUUUGGACCCAAGCUUAUAAAGACAAAGGAACGGGUAUCAUAUAUUUGACCUACUCUUAUAGGUUUUCAGGAGCAAAAAAGUCCUAAAAUAUAGACCCUUUUUGGUUAAUUUAGCAGAGAAUGACUCAAAAAGCCUGUUUUGAGGAAUUUACAUGACCUUUUUGCCCCAAAAAAAAGGUUUAAUGACCAGAUCGUGCCAUUUUAAAUAGUUUAAUCACCAUUCUCGCCAUUUGCUCUAUCAAAAUUUGAGUUACACAGAAACAUACUUUAAGUCUAGUGUUAGCCAUAUACAAGUUAAAUCUGAAUAUCAUCCGUAGGACAAAUCACAUGAAUAAGAAUGCAGUUUAGCCGAAAGGGAAUCGUUAGUUUAACUUUGAAACGUUACCUACUGUAAUUUAUUGGAAAGACCAUAAUGGUGGUUGAAAUUUAAAAGGGCAGAAUCUUGACGGUAUAUUUCAUUUUUUCCAACCGUCCUUAUUUUUGCUAUACCUAUCUGGAGAAGUGUUUACUGAGCCCAGAACUGUUUCUCUUCAUAGUAUGAGAUGGGCAAAGAUACCAAGAAAUGGAUAAUGAACCAACAGAAGUUCAUGCAACCCAAUCUGUCAAGAGGGUCUGGACCCAAAAAAUGUUCCAAGUGACCCAAUACCAAGGCAAAAACUUGGAUCCACCAAUUGUUGGACUUAAAUCCACUCUGUCCUCCAACCGGCUUUACUAGCUGUGAUUGAAGAGUACAACGCUAAGGUAAAAACUUGCAUAGACCCGAUCCACCAUCUGAAUAUAGAUCUCGAGGAGAUGAAUAAGCCAUGGCGCUUUUUUUUGCUUUACGAUCCUCAGGCAUUUCGCAAAAGAAAUGACGUGACAAGUUUUGGCCACACGAUCUAUAGCGUUGCCGGUGGACCGGAUCUGUCCAAGUUUUUGCCUAAUGCCAACUGUAGGUGUGCACGCUGGUAGAUGAAGUACUUUUUUCUGACGUCAAUAUGCUGUGGUUAACAAUAAUUUCUUGAAUGGAAUUAGAUGUUCUGAUUUUGGCAUUUUAUUUCAGGUUCAUUGAGGAUUCGAAUAGAGAUAUUAGAUGGGGCUCUUCAAAGCUGGAGGAAUUGGGCUUUCACUACAAAUAUGACGCUGUGAUGACCCUAAAUGACUCCCUUCAGUAUUUCAAGGUUCCACUUCCACUGGAGAGUUCCUAAAACAUUACCAUAUAAGCAUGUUUCUGUUCAGUCAUUUCUAAUAAGGUUGAGAAAUCCCACCUCACAAGUAAGGUGAAUUUUAUGGUCCCUUUUGGAACCAUUUUAUCAAUUUGUAUCUCUCAUUAAAGAUAAAUAAUUUAAAUUUUAAACAUUAAAUAAUGUUUAAACUAAAGGUCAGUAAUACUUCUUUCACCAUCUAACGAUGAAUUUCACUUGCGGGUAUGAUACCAAAAGGGACCGUAGAAUCACCUUAAACCCUUUAUUGUGUCAAAUCUCAAUAGAUAAUAUAAUAAAAAUAUGUUGAAUCUGUGAAAAAGAUAAAUAAUGCCACUUUCAGAAGAAAUUCUUGAAGUGGACUGUCAUUCAAUAAUGUUGUUGAAAUGGUCAAAACAAUCUUGAUGAUUUUUAUAUUUUGUGGUUUAUUUAAUCACCAUACGUACUGACAGUCUGAUACUGGAUUGCAUGAAUUAAAGGUACAGACGAGUCUAGGGUCUUGCCUUUUUGCUUUCAAUUUUGCCUUCUACUCCUUUUUUAUUUUUAUUAUUUUUUCAGAAUCUGUUCCAUAGUUUUUGGGUCUGAUAACAUGAUGAUUUCAGCCGAUCAGCUUACUCAAGAUUCAUCUACCAAAUGGUUUAUUUUUCCAAAUCAAACAUUGAAACUCGAUUUAAUCUAUAAUUCUACGUACACAUCACCUGAAGGAAAAAGGUGACCAUACAUCAAUCAUCAUGAAAUACAGAAAUUACAAAUGAACACUCUAUCUUCUAUGAUCCAUGUCUUCCGAGAUCAAAUCAAAUCCUAAACUAGCCGGUGGCGGUGGGUACCAACAUGUACAUCUAUUAUAUUCUCGGACUACAACUAAAAACUGAUUUCACAGUUUAUUCAUCUCUCUUUCCGGCUUCCGGUGCGGAAGGAUCAAAACAGGUAC
RNAcentral lists this long non-coding RNA (27288 nucleotides) under Coffea arabica (coffee). Its description in RNAcentral is "long non-coding RNA (CARA_LNC002042)". The record is from RNAcentral. Lineage: Eukaryota; Viridiplantae; Streptophyta; Magnoliopsida; Gentianales; Rubiaceae.